UUCGGAGUAGCCAAGUGGUAAGGCAAUAGACUUUGACUCUAUGAUCGGUGGUUCGAGACCAUCCUCCGAAG
The sequence is a transfer RNA, 71 nucleotides long. It matches the Rfam family "tRNA". From Rfam's summary of the family: Transfer RNA (tRNA) molecules are approximately 80 nucleotides in length. The record is from Rfam.